This 303-nucleotide ribosomal RNA is filed under the name uncultured bacterium. RNAcentral's name for it is "partial 16S ribosomal RNA". It matches the Rfam family "Bacterial small subunit ribosomal RNA", at positions 507 to 807 of the family's 1533-position model. The record is from RNAcentral.
AGCAGCAGCCGCGGGAAUACAGAGGGUGCGAGCGUUAAUCGGAUUUACUGGGCGUAAAGCGUGCGUAGGCGGCUUCUUAAGUCGGAUGUGAAAUCCCUGAGCUUAACUUAGGAAUUGCAUACGAUACUGGGAAGCUAGAGUAUGGGAGAGGAUGUUAGAAUUCCAGGUGUAGCGGUGAAAUGCGUAGAUAUCUGGAGGAAUACCGAUGGCGAAGGCAGCCAUCUGGCCUAAUACUGACGCUGAGGUACGAAAGCAUGGGGAGCAAACAGGAUUAGAUACCCGCGUAGUCCCUGUCUCUUAUAC